Molecule: ribosomal RNA, 497 nt
Filed under: uncultured bacterium
Lineage: Bacteria
Description: partial 16S ribosomal RNA
Rfam family: Bacterial small subunit ribosomal RNA
Source: RNAcentral
GAUGAACGCUGGCGGCGUGCCUAAUACAUGCAGGUCGAGCGAACAGACGAGGGGCUUGCUCCUCUGACGUUAGCGGCGGACGGGUGAGUAACACGUGGAUAACCUACCUAUAAGACUGGGAUAACUUCGGGAAACCGGAGCUAAUACCGGAUAAUAUAUUGAACCGCAUGGUUCAAUAGUGAAAGACGGUUUUGCUGUCACUUAUAGAUGGAUCCGCGCCGCAUUAGCUAGUUGGUAAGGUAACGGCUUACCAAGGCAACGAUGCGUAGCCGACCUGAGAGGGUGAUCGGCCACACUGGAACUGAGACACGGUCCAGACUCCUACGGGAGGCAGCAGUAGGGAAUCUUCCGCAAUGGGCGAAAGCCUGACGGAGCAACGCCGCGUGAGUGAUGAAGGUCUUCGGAUCGUAAAACUCUGUUAUUAGGGAAGAACAAAUGUGUAAGUAACUAUGCACGUCUUGACGGUACCUAAUCAGAAAGCCACGGCUAACUACGUG